Bacillus coahuilensis p1.1.43 is the source of this 120-nucleotide regulatory RNA element. It matches the Rfam family "epsC RNA". The record is from Rfam. NCBI's taxonomy places the organism in Bacteria, Bacillati, Bacillota, Bacilli, Caryophanales, Bacillaceae.
AGGUAAUGUCUCCUCUACCUUUAUCAAGGGAGGCACUCGGUCAUGCUGUGGGUCUUUAGGAUUAAGACCUUAGACACGAAAGUUGUCGAUGGUGGGAUGUGAGGGUGGGUUAAAUGCCCA